This 909-nucleotide long non-coding RNA is filed under the name Marmota monax (woodchuck). Lineage: Eukaryota; Metazoa; Chordata; Mammalia; Rodentia; Sciuridae. The record is from RNAcentral.
GAAAAGCACAUUGAAACCCAGCAGUGUCCCUGCGGGAGAGGUACAGUGGGCCCCUUGGUGGUGAAACCGACCUGACAACGGAGCGGAUCACAGAGCCCAUUGCCGGCGUCUGUCUUCAGUUCCACAACAGACCUUUAUGUGCAUGCUCUCAGGAGAUCUCUGAGAAAUGAUACAGCCAGCAGCCUAAGCUUUACCCCACAACAGAUUCGGGCUCAAUCUAGUUUGCCCGUUUGCUUUGAAUUCCAUUUUGUUGAUUAAGAGAAAGAAGAGCCCGCUUAGAUAUAAAGUCCCUGCCAAAAUACAUCCCUCCUACGCAGGCUUCCUCAGCUUCCCUUUCUUAUUUUCGCCUCUUGUGGACUAUUUCCACCUCCACUCGCUCUUUUCAUGCUGUAUUUGUUCCUCAGCUUAUCCAGUGCCACUGUGAAUGUCCUUCUGUCCUAGCACGUCAUUAACUGUUGGGCUGAGAGACCAGCUGGAAGGGGGUGAAGGAAUGGCAGCACAAUCUAAACCGCUCUGACUGUGCUCCCCCACCUGUGCCAAGCAGGCAGAUGGCACAGCCGAGCUCCGCGCCUUAUGUGAGUUGCUAAGGUGUGAAUGCUUGUGUGUCCCCAAACUGUGUGUGUUGAAAUCCUAACUCCCGAUGUGGUGGUAUUAGGAGGUGGUUAGGUCUUAAGGGAAGAGCCCUCAUGAAUGGGAUUAGCACCUUUACAAGAGACCCCAGGGUAAUUCCCUGUCUCUUCUGCCUUGUGAGGAUAUAAUAAGAUGGCCAUCUAAGAAUCAGGGAAAUCUGCUACCUUAAUCUUAGACCUCCCAGCCUUCAGCACUGAGAAGUGAAUUUGUUGUUUAUAAGCUAUCUAGUUUAUGAUGUUUUGUUGGAAUAGCCCAGACAUGGGUUAGUAUUUUGUUUGC